Molecule: RNA transcript, 1893 nt
Organism: Amaranthus tricolor (Joseph's coat)
Lineage: Eukaryota; Viridiplantae; Streptophyta; Magnoliopsida; Caryophyllales; Amaranthaceae
Gene name: septum site-determining protein minD homolog, chloroplastic
Exons: 2
Source: RefSeq, a predicted model, not a curated record
GAUAGUCUUUUGGACAAAUAUUUGUCACAACAUCGAGGACCUUCUUGCCUACUCCAACUUAUCUUCCCAGCAAACAUGAAUUUCAACUCUAACUUGUAAUCUCAAUCCACCAUUUUCAUUCUCAAUCCUUAACAAUGCUAUCCCUAAAACCACCUUCUUCCACUUCCUCCCUUUCUCCUUCUUCCAACCCAUUUCUCUUCAAACCCCUCUUUAAACCCUACUUUCCUCAAAAACCAUAUUUUCCAACCAUCAAAUCAAUCCUUCAAUACAAUCGAAAACCCCAAUUUUCCGGCACUUCUCCACGAGUUGUCGUCAUUACUUCCGGUAAAGGAGGCGUCGGAAAAACUACCACCACUGCAAAUAUCGGCAUUUCACUUGCCCGCCAUGGAUUUUCCGUAGUUGCAAUUGACGCUGAUGUGGGUCUUCGGAAUCUGGAUCUGCUUCUGGGUCUUGAAAAUCGUGUCAAUUAUACAGCUCUUGAAGUUCUUAAUGGCGAUUGUAGACUUGAUCAAGCAUUAGUUAGGGAUAAACGAUGGUCACACUUUGAGCUUCUUUGUAUUUCUAAACCUAGGUCUAAAUUACCAUUAGGGUUUGGGGGAAAAGCCCUAAUUUGGCUUGUUGAUGCAUUAAAACAUAGAGAUGAAGGUUGUCCUGAUUUCAUUUUGAUUGAUUGUCCUGCUGGAAUUGAUGCUGGGUUUAUUACUGCUAUCACACCUGCAAAUGAGGCGAUUUUGGUUACCACACCGGAUAUUACGGCAUUGAGGGAUGCUGAUAGGGUUAUUGGAUUGCUGGAAUGUGAUGGAAUUAAGGAUAUCAAGAUGAUGGUUAAUAGGGUUAGGACUGAUAUGAUUAAAGGGGAGGAUAUGAUGUCGGUUUUGGAUGUUCAAGAAAUGCUAGGCUUGGCACUUUUAGGGGUUAUUCCGGAUGAUUCAGAGGUUAUUCGUAGCACGAAUCGUGGGUAUCCUUUGGUUUUGAAUCGGCCUCCUACAUUGGCCGGGUUAGCAUUCGAGCAAGCUGCUUGGAGGCUUGUAGAACAGGAUAGUAUGACCGCGGUUAUGGUUGAAGAACAGCCUAAGAAACGUGGGUUCUUUUCGUUAUUUGGUGGAUGACCUGAGUCCUGAACAAUGUAGUUAUAAAUGAGGAUACUUUGAGAGCAAGUUGGGAUUUUGUGUACAGAUGCUAGGAUGAAGCAAAUUUGGACAAUUUAGUUAUAAUCGAGGAUACUUUUGAAGAACUUGGGAUUGUGCUCAGAUGUUAGGUAUGGGAUUAUUUGGUGAUUGAACAACUAUAUAAUACUAUGAAUUUAACGAUCCAAGAAGAUACAUGUCGAGGUUUAUUAUAUUUUCGAUUUAUGCUUGAAUGUGAGAUGAGGAAACCUGAGUGGAACAAUGUAGGUAGCAAACUGUUUAGCCAGUGCCUGCUUGACGUGUCCAGAUUUUUCACUUAAUUUGUGGAUUUUGGCACAAUUGAAGGAUAGAAUGUUCGAAAAUGCUUUGAUUGUUUUUCUUCAUCUUAAGUUACUGGGACUGAGGCUAAUUUUGCACCCACUGCACGUUCAAAUUAACUUCAGGUUGCGUACAUCCGAUUCUCAUCCCAAGCAGCCCUACCUAAGUGAGAGCCAUUGAUUGACAUCGGAAUAAUGAAAUGUUAUAGGAUCCCUUUAUCAACUAUUCGUAAAUACCUAAAACGAGUUUGUUAUAGGUCAUUUUAUUAACCAUUUAUUUUAGUCAGUUGUUAACAGUGGUGGAAUUAGGAAAAAGAGAGCAAAUAAAACCAUCAAAUGCGAGAUGGAUCUCGUACACAAUAUCAAGAAUAUCAUCUUGAAAGCCAUUCAUAUUAGCAUAUACAUUCUCUUUGUUAAUAAUUUUUGUUGUAGACCAUUGAAGGUCUAGA